CGCAUGGUUCAAAAGUGAAAGACGGUCUUGCUGUCACUUAUAGAUGGAUCCGCGCUGCAUUAGCUAGUUGGUAAGGUAACGGCUUACCAAGGCAACGAUGCAUAGCCGACCUGAGAGGGUGAUCGGCCACACUGGAACUGAGACACGGUCCAGACUCCUACGGGAGGCAGCAGUAGGGAAUCUUCCGCAAUGGGCGAAAGCCUGACGGAGCAACGCCGCGUGAGUGAUGAAGGUCUUCGGAUCGUAAAACUCUGUUAUUAGGGAGGAACAUAUGUGUAAGUAACUGUGCACAUCUUGACGGUACCUAAUCAGAAAGCCACGGCUAACUACGUGCCAGCAGCCGCGGUAAUACGUAGGUGGCAAGCGUUAUCCGGAAUUAUUGGGCGUAAAGCGCGCGUAGGCGGUUUUUUAAGUCUGAUGUGAAAGCCCACGGCUCAACCGUGGAGGGGCAUUGGAAACUG
Molecule: ribosomal RNA, 461 nt
Filed under: uncultured Staphylococcus sp.
Lineage: Bacteria; Bacillati; Bacillota; Bacilli; Caryophanales; Staphylococcaceae
Description: bacterial SSU rRNA
Rfam family: Bacterial small subunit ribosomal RNA
Source: RNAcentral